Bombyx mori (domestic silkworm) is the source of this 569-nucleotide long non-coding RNA. RefSeq lists it as uncharacterized. The transcript has 3 exons. NCBI's taxonomy places the organism in Eukaryota, Metazoa, Arthropoda, Insecta, Lepidoptera, Bombycidae. The record is from RefSeq and is a predicted model, not a curated record.
UUUUUAUCCUAGUCGAAAUUAUGAAACGAAACGUUUUGACAGUCCGUUUGCCAAUAAGCAGUGAUCAGUUUCUUUUGUUUGUUUUUCUAUUGUUUACCUACUAUAUUAGAUGAUGACUUACCUCCAAAACGCUUUAAAACUUUCGUUUAUAAUUCUAAGUGUGUUUAUAAUUAAAGAGCUACAGUGAAAUAAAAUGAAUUCUUCAAGAAAGGCAGCACCCAUGACAAAAGAUGAGACGAUGAUUCUAGCAGAACUUGUGGCGGCGAAAAAACAUUUCAAUAAUAAGGCAACAAAUGCCACAAACAAUAAAUUGAAGGAGCAGGCUUGGCAAACCCUUGUAAAUGAUUUUAAUUCGUCGAUUCGUCGUUUCCCACGAACUCCAUCGCAGCUUCGACUAAAAUGGGAAAACUUAAAGAACGCUACGGCAACAUAAGAAACAACCUUAGUAAGGCUGGAGGUGGUAAGGAUUGCAGAUGAAAUUUUGGAUAAAGCAUGCACAUUGUUGUAGGUCACAUAUAAUAUUUUUAACACUUUUACAGCCAAGCGGAAACAAGAUGGAAGAAAAGAAA